This 71-nucleotide transfer RNA is filed under the name Camelus ferus (Wild Bactrian camel). It matches the Rfam family "tRNA". From Rfam's summary of the family: Transfer RNA (tRNA) molecules are approximately 80 nucleotides in length. Their secondary structure includes four short double-helical elements and three loops (D, anti-codon, and T loops). Further hydrogen bonds mediate the characteristic L-shaped molecular structure. tRNAs have two regions of fundamental functional importance: the anti-codon, which is responsible for specific mRNA codon recognition, and the 3' end, to which the tRNAs corresponding amino acid is attached (by aminoacyl-tRNA synthetases). tRNAs cope with the degeneracy of the genetic code in two manners: having more than one tRNA (with a specific anti-codon) for a particular amino acid; and 'wobble' base-pairing, i.e. permitting non-standard base-pairing at the 3rd anti-codon position. The record is from Rfam by way of RNAcentral. Lineage: Eukaryota; Metazoa; Chordata; Mammalia; Artiodactyla; Camelidae.
GAGGGUGUAGCUCAGUGGUAGGGUGGUGCUCAGCAUGCACGAGGUCCUGGGUUCAAUCCCCGGUACCCCCG